GGAAUUUGAUCUUGCUUAGAUGACGCUAGCGGGAGGCCUAACACAUGCAAGCCGAGCGGUAGAGUAUCUUCGGAUACUUGAGAGCGGCGUACGGGUGCGGAACACGUGUGCAACCUGCCUUUAUCUGAGGGAUAGCCUUUCGAAAGGGAGAUUAAUACCUCAUAAUAUACUGAUUGGCAUCAAUUGGUAUUGAAAGCUCCGGCGGAUAGAGAUGGGCACGCGCAAGAUUAGAUAGUUGGUGAGGUAACGGCUCACCAAGUCAAUGAUCUUUAGGGGGCCUGAGAGGGUGAUCCCCCACACUGGUACUGAGACACGGACCAGACUCCUACGGGAGGCAGCAGUGAGGAAUAUUGGACAAUGGGUGCAAGCCUGAUCCAGCCAUCCCGCGUGAAGGACGACGGCCCUAUGGGUUGUAAACUUCUUUUGUACAGGGAUAAACCUACCCUCGUGAGGGUAGCUGAAGGUACUGUACGAAUAAGCACCGGCUAACUCCGUGCCAGCCGCCGCGGUAAUU
RNAcentral lists this ribosomal RNA (514 nucleotides) under Riemerella anatipestifer. RNAcentral's name for it is "bacterial SSU rRNA". It matches the Rfam family "Bacterial small subunit ribosomal RNA", at positions 1 to 525 of the family's 1533-position model. Lineage: Bacteria; Pseudomonadati; Bacteroidota; Flavobacteriia; Flavobacteriales; Weeksellaceae. The record is from RNAcentral.